Molecule: ribosomal RNA, 497 nt
Filed under: uncultured bacterium
Lineage: Bacteria
Description: partial 16S ribosomal RNA
Rfam family: Bacterial small subunit ribosomal RNA
Source: RNAcentral
GAUGAACGCUGGCGGCGUGCCUAAUACAUGCAAGUCGAGCGAACGGACGAGAAGCUUGCUUCUCUGAUGUUAGCGGCGGACGGGUGAGUAACACGUGGAUAACCUACCUAUAAGACUGGGAUAACUUCGGGAAACCGGAGCUAAUACCGGAUGAUAUUUUGAGCCGCAUGGUUCAAAAGUGAAAGACGGUCUUGCUGUCACUUAUAGAUGGAUCCGCGCUGCAUUAGCUAGUUGGUAAGGUAACGGCUUACCAAGGCAACGAUGCAUAGCCGACCUGAGAGGGUGAUCGGCCACACUGGAACUGAGACACGGUCCAGACUCCUACGGGAGGCAGCAGUAGGGAAUCUUCCGCAAUGGGCGAAAGCCUGACGGAGCAACGCCGCGUGAGUGAUGAAGGUCUUCGGAUCGUAAAACUCUGUUAUUAGGGAAGAACAUAUGUGUAAGUAACUGUGCACAUCCUGACGGUACCUAAUCAGAAAGCCACGGCUAACUACGUG